RNAcentral lists this long non-coding RNA (375 nucleotides) under Sinocyclocheilus anshuiensis. RNAcentral's name for it is "lncRNA (ENSSANG00000034199.1)". The record is from RNAcentral. Lineage: Eukaryota; Metazoa; Chordata; Actinopteri; Cypriniformes; Cyprinidae.
CUCUUCUCCUCUCAGUCAUUCUGGAUUAUAGUCCCGAGGAGGCGAGUCAUUCACAGAGAACCGGGCUCAACGUUUCCCGCGGCUGUUAUCGCCUCUGUCUCUUUCUCACCCCUUCUGUGAGAGUUCACCGCUGGUGGAGCUGUGUGAAGCUGAGGAGAGUUCAGACCUCAACCUGGAGGAGCUUCACUCAUGCCGGAGAUCCUCUACCAUGACGACUGUGGCCAGAUCUUUCAUCGGGAUCUUCUGGCUCCUGCGGUUGGUGUGUGCGGUCUUCCCUGAGGAACCGGGACCUCUGAACUUUAUCCCCACUGAAGGUAACAUUGUCUCUGUUUCACAUGCAGUCAUCAAGGAUCAGGGUUGGGCCCGUCUGCACUC